Molecule: long non-coding RNA, 1006 nt
Organism: Xenopus tropicalis (tropical clawed frog)
Lineage: Eukaryota; Metazoa; Chordata; Amphibia; Anura; Pipidae
Exons: 2
Source: RefSeq, a predicted model, not a curated record
AUCUACUUCACCUUGCAGACUACAGUUGUGUGAUGUGAUUGCUGGCAAGAGAGAGAAGGGUAAACAGUCCUGUGUCAGCCAAUUUUAUUUUUACUCGGGGAACCAGUCACAAAUUGGUCAUGGUUGUAAACUUGAGCAUUAAGCUGGAACAUUGUUCUGAGUGAUUUAUGCAUCUUUUAAUGUAAAACAUUGUUUGCUGCAUGCACAUGUGAAAUGUAUACCAUCACUUCAGAGCAACAUAAGCCAAGUCUUAUUCCCUGCUGUGCGCGUGAACACUGUUGACACUUCUUUUUCACCACAGCACGAGAGAUGUGCAACUUACAUCAGACAGCAACAACCUCCAACUUGCAAGACGUUACAAGAAAACAACUCGUCGGCUUGAAAAGGCCUCGGCACGGAAUGAAAAAGAAAAAGGUACUAGAGACACAAUGGUUUGCUCUGACAAGAUGGUAUCAGUGUAAAGACAGAUGGGUUCACAUCUUGUUUGAAGAAGUAUCUGUGACAGAACAAGACGGCUGCUCGCAAGUGAACUUGUGAAAUGCUUGGACUGAGUAAUCCUCUAAUGCAGGUUCUGUGUACCAUGACGGCAUGGAAUAUUAAUGCAAAAGAUGCUGGAGAUUUGAAGAGAAAGCAGAAAACUGAGUCCUAGAAUCAAGCCAAUUACUACUGCAAAGAGGCCACGGCCAACACCAAAGUGCAAGCAGAGCCUAUAAUACCAAAGGAUGAAGGAUUUAGGGAAAUAAAUCACAAGGCUAAAUAAAACCUGAAAUAUUCUCACAGAAAAUGAUUUCACCAGACACAAAUUGUUGCAGAAAAACUUCAAUAAAAUCCACUGUUUCCAUGCUAACAGAAUAAAAGGCAUCUAUGUAAUUCGGUAAUUGUAAAAGUCAUGGUAUGACAUAUAUUCCAGUCCUCUGUACCAGUGAUACCUGUCAGUUGUUGAUAAACUGCAACCCCCAGCAUUCCAAUAAAAGCCAAAAGAUGGACUGCAGUAAGUUGACUUUAA